UGUAGCUUAGCUGAUCAAAAGCUCUCCCGCAAAAAGGGAGGAUCGUGGGUUUGAACCCCACCACUAUGCGCUCCA
RNAcentral lists this transfer RNA (75 nucleotides) under Candidatus Mycosynbacter amalyticus. RNAcentral's name for it is "tRNA-Phe". Lineage: Bacteria; Candidatus Saccharimonadota. The record is from RNAcentral.